CCUACGGGAGGCAGCAGUGAGGAAUAUUGGUCAAUGGGCUUACGCCUGAACCAGCCAAGUCGCGUGAGGGAAGACUGCCCUAUGGGUUGUAAACCUCUUUUGUCAGGGAGCAACGCCGGCUACGUGUCGCCGGACUGAGAGUACCUGAAGAAAAAGCAUCGGCUAACUCCGUGCCAGCAGCCGCGGUAAUACGGGGGAUGCGAGCGUUAUCCGGAUUUUUUGGGUUAAAGGGGUGAGUAGGCGGAAUGCCAAGUCAGCGGUAAAAUCGCGGGGCUCAAUCUCGCUCCGCCGUUGAAACUGGCGUUCUUGAGUGGGCGUUAAGUAUGCGGAAUGCGUGGUGUAGCGGUGAAAUGCAUAGAUAGCACGCAGAACUCCGAUUGCGAAGGCAGCAUACCGGCGCCCAACUGACGCUGAAGCACGAAAGCGUGGGUAUCGAACAGGAUUAGAUACCCCGGUAGUC
Molecule: ribosomal RNA, 460 nt
Filed under: uncultured bacterium
Lineage: Bacteria
Description: partial 16S ribosomal RNA
Rfam family: Bacterial small subunit ribosomal RNA
Source: RNAcentral